UAGGGUUUUGAUUAUGGCUCAGAUUGAACGCUGGCGGCAGGCUUAACACAUGCAAGUCGAGCGGUAACAGAUCUAGCUUGAUAGAUGCUGACGAGCGGCGGACGGGUGAGUAACGCGUAGGAAACUGCCGAGUAGUGGGGGAUAGCCCAGAGAAAUUUGGAUUAAUACCGCAUACGCCCUACGGGGGAAAGGAGGGGAUCUUCGGACCUUUCGCUAUUCGAUGUGCCUGCGUGAGAUUAGCUUGUUGGUGAGGUAAAGGCUCACCAAGGCGACGAUCUCUAGCUGGUUUGAGAGGAUGAUCAGCCACACUGGGACUGAGACACGGCCCAGACUCCUACGGGAGGCAGCAGUGGGGAAUAUUGCACAAUGGGGGAAACCCUGAUGCAGCCAUGCCGCGUGUGUGAAGAAGGCCUUCGGGUUGUAAAGCACUUUCAGCAGUGAGGAAAGGUUGUAAGUUAAUACCUUGCAGCUAUGACGUUAACUGCAGAAGAAGGACCGGCUAACUCCGUGC
RNAcentral lists this ribosomal RNA (511 nucleotides) under uncultured bacterium. RNAcentral describes it as "bacterial SSU rRNA". It matches the Rfam family "Bacterial small subunit ribosomal RNA", at positions 1 to 508 of the family's 1533-position model. The record is from RNAcentral.